Molecule: non-coding RNA, 88 nt
Organism: Pangasianodon gigas (Mekong giant catfish)
Lineage: Eukaryota; Metazoa; Chordata; Actinopteri; Siluriformes; Pangasiidae
Source: the annotation of a GenBank genome assembly
CACAGGACACAUACACACACACACACACACACACACAGCAGUCAGCAGUAACUUGUUUUGCCUGAGAUUUAACACAGAAUACUUUCAG